RNAcentral lists this long non-coding RNA (683 nucleotides) under Equus caballus (horse). RNAcentral's name for it is "lncRNA (ENSECAG00000044570.1)". Lineage: Eukaryota; Metazoa; Chordata; Mammalia; Perissodactyla; Equidae. The record is from RNAcentral.
UAGUUAGAAUGAUGAAAGUAGAGGAACAGUAUCUGCUUACCUAAAACCUUGUUGCAGGAGGUCAUCUAGAGGACAUGAAAGCAGGUUCACCUGUGAGCUGGAUCGACCAAUCUUGGGACCCUGGCUACUGGACGCUCCUUACCUGCCUCCCGCGUCCUGGGAAUGUAAGCUCCUCCCACCAUUCCCACAGGGGAGCCUCUUCAAGGAGCAGCCUUGAGAGAGCACGUGUUAUUGAGACCAUCUGGACUACAUUCGUGACUGAACCCCGUCUAGACCUCUAUGUAAACUAUAAGAUUCUGGCGUGCAAUGCGGAGAUCCACUCAUCUUGCGGUUGUUGAAGACAGGCUUGGAGGCAUUGAAACAGAAAUGGAACCAAAUCCUGUCCUUGAGUAUCUUCCAAGAUAUGCAUUGAAACAGAAAUGGAACCAAAUCCUGUCCUUGAGUAUCUUCCAAGAUAUUGUAAUUCAUUUUCAAGUGGAACUUGUUUUCGAUGGAGGGAUAUGCUGUAGAGAGCCUUGGUGUCUUUCUUCGGUUUGCACAGUCCAGCAGAAAUUACUGAAAUUGGUGGAUUGUGAAGAGCAUCUGCAGGAGUUCCCUACCAGAAUAUUCUUUAGUAAUUUGCAUUGUUGUUUGGAAGCACAAAAGUUAGACAUGUGGGCAAACUUUUAAGGACUGUUUACAGU